CGGCAAACAAAGGAAUAUGAGGAACAAUAAUCUGUGCCGAAAAGCGGCGUUGCUCUCAGAGGCCGCCCAGCCGCCGAUGGCAGCAGCAGUGCUGUCGCCGCACUUCUCCUGCCCACCCAGCAGCCGCUGAGGUAACCCUCCUGUCAGGGAUACCGUGUCCAGCAUGGGAGGGAAGCUGAAGCGCCCCCAAAUCCUCCAUUUUCAAGGAAUUUGACAGGCACAUGUCAGUAUAUACUGCUGUCUGUGAUCUGUCCCUCAGAGCAAUUUAACCGCCCCCGCCAGAGGCCACAUUUUAAGCCAUAACGGCCGACUUCCACACAGCUCCCCAUGCUAUUUAUGUUCAUCAGCUCCUGAGUUUUGAUUCUUUUGGCUGCCUGUAGCCACUCAAGCAAGCCUUGUAGGAAGAAAAGUCAACUUCAAGUUGUCCAGUUACUAGAAGCAGAGAAGGCCAGACAACUGGAGUUAUGCACACCUAGCAGGAAGACAGUCAAGAAUACUGCAGGUGUCUGCAAGCUACAUAUGGCAUUUUUGGUGGCUGCCCUUGGAUCUCAUGCAAGCCCAGAACUGCUGUACCCCAGUCUUGACUUCAUACCCAUCUGUGUGGCAUCGUUCAGGAUAUCCCAACGUCUGGCUUCCUCUUCCUUCAAAAAUCCUCUGAUACUUCACUUCAAAGACCCAUAUGCAGCCAAACCACAGUGGCAGAUGUCAUGGGAAGUGCUCGCUUUCUGUCCACGUGCUCUCAGUUCAGCGGCAGCGAAGGCUUGCAGCGUACCCGAUGUGUAACCUGCAAAGCAGCCAUAAGGCAAUAUGGAUGAUGAGUUCAGAUGUAGAAGGCUGUACUGAAGGCAUCUAAAAGUGGCCAGAUGAAGCUUGACCAGAUGAAGCUUACAGUCAGCUUGCACAACCAGGGCCACUGUUUAGGUUGUAGGAUGUUCCUGAUUAUGUUAGGUAAAGCAGGGACAGACUGCUGUCUCCUACCUCCCUCAUUACUGCCAUAUCUGCUGGGCUUCUGGCAGACUGGGAUGGGGCUGUCCCCUGCACCUUGUUUCAGUACCUAUCAAUAAUAAAUGUCAGUGUUGAAGAAAGACA
RNAcentral lists this long non-coding RNA (1089 nucleotides) under Anser brachyrhynchus (Pink-footed goose). RNAcentral describes it as "lncRNA (ENSABRG00000015917.1)". Lineage: Eukaryota; Metazoa; Chordata; Aves; Anseriformes; Anatidae. The record is from RNAcentral.